RNAcentral lists this small nucleolar RNA (73 nucleotides) under Cajanus cajan (pigeon pea). RNAcentral's name for it is "snoRNA gene-KK1_001765". Lineage: Eukaryota; Viridiplantae; Streptophyta; Magnoliopsida; Fabales; Fabaceae. The record is from RNAcentral.
GUAGUGCCUCAGUUGGAAGUUGAUGUCAUAGAAACAAAUCUCGGAGUAUAUUUAACACCAUCAUAGGCACACA